Molecule: ribosomal RNA, 253 nt
Filed under: uncultured bacterium
Lineage: Bacteria
Description: partial 16S ribosomal RNA
Rfam family: Bacterial small subunit ribosomal RNA
Source: RNAcentral
UACGAAGGGGGCUAGCGUUGUUCGGAAUUACUGGGCGUAAAGGGCAUGUAGGCGGUUUGAUAAAUUAGAAGUGAAAUGCCUGGGCUUAACCCGGGAAUUGCUUUUAAGACUGUCAGACUUGAAUCCGUGAGAGGACAGUGGAAUUCCCAGUGUAGAGGUGAAAUUCGUAGAUAUUGGGAAGAACACCAGUAGCGAAGGCGACUGUCUGGUGCGGUAUUGACGCUGAGAUGCGAAAGCGUGGGGAGCAAACAGG